UCUCCGUUGGUGAACCAGCGGAGGGAUCAUUACCGAGUGCAAACUCAUAACCCUUUGUGAACCUAUAUCUGUUGCUUCGGCGGCGCGCUCUCGGGCGAGCCCGCCGGUAAUAUCAGUAUCUCUGUUUGAACCCGACGAUACUUCUGAGUGUUCUUAGCGAACAGUUAAAACUUUUAACAACGGAUCUCUUGGCUCUA
RNAcentral lists this unclassified non-coding RNA (197 nucleotides) under plant metagenome. RNAcentral's name for it is "partial contains small subunit ribosomal RNA, internal transcribed spacer 1, and 5.8S ribosomal RNA". The record is from RNAcentral.